GACGAACGCUGGCGGCGUGCUUAACACAUGCAAGUCGAACGGAAAGGCCCUGCGUUUGUGGGGUGCUCGUUUGGCGAACGGGUGAGUAACACGUGAGUAACCUGCCCUUGACUGUGGGAUAACUUCAGGAAACUGCGGCUAAUACCCGAUAGGAUCUCCUGCUGCAUGGGGGGGGUUGGAAAGAUUCGGUGGUGGGGGAUGGACUCGAGGGUUAUCAGCUGGAUGGUGGGGUUGUGGCUGACCAAGGUUUUGACGGGUAGCCGGCCUGGGAGGGUGACCGGCCACAUUGGGACUGCGAUACGGCCCAGACUCCUACGGUAGGCAGAAGUGGGGAAUAUUGCACAGUGGGCGGAAGCCUGAUGCAGCAACGCCGCGUGCGGGAUGACGGCCUUCGGGUUGUAAACCGCUUUCGACUGUGCCGAAGCGUGAGUGACGGUAAUGGGUAAAGAAGCACCGGCUAACUACGUG
RNAcentral lists this ribosomal RNA (468 nucleotides) under uncultured bacterium. RNAcentral's name for it is "partial 16S ribosomal RNA". It matches the Rfam family "Bacterial small subunit ribosomal RNA", at positions 28 to 507 of the family's 1533-position model. The record is from RNAcentral.